UACGUAGGCAGCAAGCGUUGUUCGGAAUUACUGGGCGUAAAGGGCGUGUAGGCGGCUUCGUAAGUUCGGUGUGAAAUCUCACGGCUCAACUGGGAGGGGGCGCCGAAAACUGCGAAGCUGGAGCGCAGGAGAGGAGAGCAGAAUUCCUGGUGUAGCGGUGAAAUGCGUAGAUAUCAGGAGGAAUACCGGUGGUGAAGGCGGCUCUCUGGACUGCUGCUGACGCUGAUACACGAAAGCGUGGGGAGCAAACGGG
This 253-nucleotide ribosomal RNA is filed under the name uncultured bacterium. RNAcentral's name for it is "partial 16S ribosomal RNA". It matches the Rfam family "Bacterial small subunit ribosomal RNA", at positions 524 to 776 of the family's 1533-position model. The record is from RNAcentral.